UCUUAAAAAUUUCACCAAUUUAUACCAUUAAAAACUGGCAUGAUUGAUGAAAAAAUCAGACAAUAAGGCAUGACAUGCCACGUAUACCUCAUGUUAACAUACACUAAUCAGUUUUUAAACAGUAGAAAUUGAUAAAAUUUUUAACA
Molecule: non-coding RNA, 146 nt
Organism: Gossypium hirsutum (cotton)
Lineage: Eukaryota; Viridiplantae; Streptophyta; Magnoliopsida; Malvales; Malvaceae
Source: Rfam